Drosophila busckii is the source of this 1740-nucleotide RNA transcript. NCBI's taxonomy places the organism in Eukaryota, Metazoa, Arthropoda, Insecta, Diptera, Drosophilidae. The transcript is spliced from 3 exons. The record is from RefSeq and is a predicted model, not a curated record.
UUUAGUUCACAAUGCCGUUCAAGCCUGCGAUCAGCUACGAUGCGCAAAAUAAAAUAUGGAGUGGGCCUGAUACACAGGACUAUUUUGCGCCGGACUUAUCCAUUGGCCAAAUUAUAUUCCACGAGAUGCGACGACAUCCUAAACUAAUAGCACAAGUCUCGCCAACGGAAAAUACGAGCUUAACCAGAGAGGAACUACAUUUGAAUUCGAUGCGUGUGGCAAGUUAUUUUAGGCAGUUGGGCUUAGCACAAACAGAUUUUGUUGGAAUCAUAGCAAGAAAUACAACACACAUGUCCGCUGUGGCCUAUGGAUGCUUCUUCAAUGGCAUUGCUUUUCAUUCUCUCAAUGUGACGUAUUGAGCAGGCCACUAUCGAAAAGGCAUUUUUGGUAUAACCAAACCGCGUUCUGAUAUUCUGCGAUGGUGAUGAGUACGAAAAAGUAAAAGCAGGCCACGUCGACGUUGGAAUGUUAAAUUUAAUCACAAUGCGCAAUCAUCAAAGUGGCGUGAAUGAGCAUUGAGCGAGAUUCUAGGAGAACUCCUGUUGAGUCCUCACUUUGAGCCUGCGUGCCUAGAGCAAGGGAAACAAGCAAACGUUGGCUAUACUUUGCUCAUCAGGCACUACAGGAUUACCAAAGGCUGUGACCAUUUCAAAUAGUAGAAAGAUUCUUAAUUGCGCCACCUAUCUAACAACUGCUGACGUGCAAUUUUCUCAGAGCACUAUGGAUUGGUUAACGUGCCUCGUAACGACUGUGACAUCAGGAGUAUACAGUACCAAACGUAUUAUCGUCGAUACUCCUUUUGAUCCUGCAUAUUUUCUACGUAUGGUCGAGGAGUACAAAGUUACGUGGGUGCUGCAGUCGCCUUCGCAUAUGGCAAUGACCACAAACUGCGCAGAGUUUAAGACUGCCAAUUUACAAAGUAUGCGAGCAUAUCUUUAUGGAGGAGGCAAGUGCUCGGUGCAGGCGCAGCACGAUAUACGAAAUCGUUUGCCUUUCGACUGCUUGCAUCUGGCUUAUGGCUUUACUGAGUCUGGAUCAACGGUUACAAUUAAUUGGAAUUUCGAUGAGAAACCUAAUUCCUGUGGACGUCCUGUGGCAGGCUAUAAAUUGAAAAUACUGGAUGAAGCGGGUGUAGCACUCGGACCCAACCAAGUGGGCGAGGUUUGUGCUUAUAGCGGCAAGUACUGGGCUGGCUACUACAACAACCCAACGGAGUCACAAAAUGUACGCGAUUCGAAGCUUUGGUUUCACACUGGUGACUUGGGCUACAUGGAUGACGACGGCUUUCUCUACAUUGUGGAGCGAAAGAAGGAUAUGCUCAAGUAUCAGAAUAUCAUGUACUAUCCUAACGAAAUCGAAGACGUUAUUAGUCAAAUGCCUGGCGUGUCUGAAGUUUGUGUAUUCGGCGUAUGGGAUCAAUGUAAUGGUGAUGGAGCUGCAGCAGCUGUGGUUAAGAAGCACGACGCUGAUAUUCAUGCACAGGAUGUUGUUAAUUAUGUAAAGAAACAUAUUAGCGCUAGUUACAAGCACUUACAUUGCGGUGCUUUAAUAGUAAAUGAAUUACAGCAAAAUACCAAUGGUAAGACGAAUCGCAUUGCAACUAAGGCUCAUUUCCUAAAGGUUAAGGGCAUAAAGGAAGAAUAGAAGCUUUAACAAUAGCAAAAAACCAUUUUUAAUAAGUUAAAAAAUAAGUUCUUCAUUUAAUACUAAUGCAUGUUAAUUACAACUUUAUACUAUUAA